Molecule: unclassified non-coding RNA, 166 nt
Filed under: Pestalotiopsis yanglingensis
Lineage: Eukaryota; Fungi; Ascomycota; Sordariomycetes; Amphisphaeriales; Sporocadaceae
Description: internal transcribed 2
Source: RNAcentral
CAACCCUUAAGCCUAGCUUAGUGUUGGGAGCCUACUGCUUUUGUUAGCUGUAGCUCCUGAAAUACAACGGCGGAUCUGCGAUAUCCUCUGAGCGUAGUAAUUUUUUUCCUCGCUUUUGACUGGAGUUGCAGCGUCUUUAGCCGCUAAACCCCCCAAUUUUUAAUGG